Molecule: transfer RNA, 65 nt
Filed under: Pseudorhynchus acuminatus
Lineage: Eukaryota; Metazoa; Arthropoda; Insecta; Orthoptera; Tettigoniidae
Description: tRNA-Leu
Source: RNAcentral
ACUAUUUUGGCAGAAAAGUGCAUUGAAUUUAGAAUUCAAUAAUGUAAUUAUUAUUACAAGUAGUA